This 63-nucleotide transfer RNA is filed under the name Loxodonta africana (African savanna elephant). It matches the Rfam family "tRNA". Rfam says of the family: Transfer RNA (tRNA) molecules are approximately 80 nucleotides in length. Their secondary structure includes four short double-helical elements and three loops (D, anti-codon, and T loops). The record is from Rfam by way of RNAcentral. Lineage: Eukaryota; Metazoa; Chordata; Mammalia; Proboscidea; Elephantidae.
UUGGUGGUUCAGCGGUAGAACUCUCGCCCUCAUGCGGGAGACCCGGGUUCGAUUCCCGGCCAA